GAUGAACGCUGGCGGCGUGCUUAACACAUGCAAGUCGAACGGAAAGGCUCCUGCUUGCAGGGGUACUCGAGUGGCGAACGGGUGAGUAACACGUGGGUGAUCUGCCAUGCACUUCGGAAUAAGCCUGGGAAACUGGGUCUAAUACCGGAUAGGCCGAUGGUUUGGAUGCCAUUGUGGAAAGUCUUGUCGGUGUGGGAUGAGCUCGCGGCCUAUCAGCUUGUUGGUGGGGUAAUGGCCUACCAAGGCGUCGACGGGUAGCCGGCCUGAGAGGGUGUCCGGCCACAUUGGGACAGAGAUACGGCCCAGACUCCUAGGGGAGGCAGCAGUGGGGAAAAUUGCACAAUGGGCGCAAGCCGGAUGCAGCGACGCGGCGUGGGGGAUGACGGCCUUCGGUUUGUAAACUCCUUUCGCUAGGGAGGAAGCGCAAGUGACGGUACCUGGAGAAGAAGCACCGGCUAACUACGUG
This 466-nucleotide ribosomal RNA is filed under the name uncultured bacterium. RNAcentral describes it as "partial 16S ribosomal RNA". It matches the Rfam family "Bacterial small subunit ribosomal RNA", at positions 28 to 507 of the family's 1533-position model. The record is from RNAcentral.